RNAcentral lists this ribosomal RNA (251 nucleotides) under uncultured prokaryote. RNAcentral describes it as "partial 16S ribosomal RNA". It matches the Rfam family "Bacterial small subunit ribosomal RNA", at positions 525 to 775 of the family's 1533-position model. The record is from RNAcentral.
ACGUAGGAGGCAAGCGUUAUUCGGAUUUACUGGGCGUAAAGCGCGUGCAGGCGGUUCGGAAAGUUGGAUGUGAAAGCUCCUGGCUUAACUGGGAGAGGUCGUUCAAUACUUCCGGACUUGAGAGUGGGAGAGGGAGGUGGAAUUCCGGGUGUAGUGGUGAAAUGCGUAGAUAUCCGGAGGAACACCAGUGGCGAAAGCGGCCUCCUGGCCCAUUUCUGACGCUCAGACGCGAAAGCUAGGGUAGCAAACGG